This 382-nucleotide long non-coding RNA is filed under the name Homo sapiens (human). RNAcentral's name for it is "HSALNT0171434". Lineage: Eukaryota; Metazoa; Chordata; Mammalia; Primates; Hominidae. The record is from RNAcentral.
CGGACUAACCAGAGGGCUGCUAAUUUAUCAGGAAAGCUAUGGACAGCAUCCAAAAAGUUACCAGAAGGCAAGUAAAAGGAUAACCUUCAAAAGGGCCUUACUUCUGAAGACUGAGUACCUAAGACUCCUUCGCCUCAUACCCAGAUCCAGAUAAGGGCUCUCAUCCCUGCUGAACCUCAUCAUGAGGUUGCUUUAUGAAAAGUGAAAACAAAGCUUCAUUGCACAGGCUUCUUCGGGAGAAAGGAGGAAGGAAUUUGCUGCCUCUGAAUAAAAGAAAAUUCUGAUCCACGUUGGCAAAAUGGAAAAAUCAAAAUGACAGAAUAGGAAUGUGGGUGUGCUCUCAUGGCGACUGGCAAAGAAGAAGCACCCCUCUGCACAGAAA